CGGGUGCUGGACCUGCAGCACCACAGACGCGACUACUGUGCUGGACCUGUGACGCCAGGGCACAGAGGAAGUGGCUGUUUCUACGCUCAGUGCUCAGAACAGUGGGCACUAAGAAUGGUUUGUAGCCUGACAUUC
RNAcentral lists this small nucleolar RNA (135 nucleotides) under Myotis davidii. RNAcentral describes it as "Small nucleolar RNA SNORA43". It matches the Rfam family "Small nucleolar RNA SNORA43". Rfam says of the family: ACA43 is a member of the H/ACA class of snoRNA that guide the sites of modification of uridines to pseudouridines. Lineage: Eukaryota; Metazoa; Chordata; Mammalia; Chiroptera; Vespertilionidae. The record is from Rfam by way of RNAcentral.